Molecule: transfer RNA, 74 nt
Filed under: Poecilia formosa (Amazon molly)
Lineage: Eukaryota; Metazoa; Chordata; Actinopteri; Cyprinodontiformes; Poeciliidae
Rfam family: tRNA
About the family: Transfer RNA (tRNA) molecules are approximately 80 nucleotides in length. Their secondary structure includes four short double-helical elements and three loops (D, anti-codon, and T loops). Further hydrogen bonds mediate the characteristic L-shaped molecular structure. tRNAs have two regions of fundamental functional importance: the anti-codon, which is responsible for specific mRNA codon recognition, and the 3' end, to which the tRNAs corresponding amino acid is attached (by aminoacyl-tRNA synthetases). tRNAs cope with the degeneracy of the genetic code in two manners: having more than one tRNA (with a specific anti-codon) for a particular amino acid; and 'wobble' base-pairing, i.e. permitting non-standard base-pairing at the 3rd anti-codon position.
Source: Rfam by way of RNAcentral
GGCUGGUUAGCUCAGCUGGUCAGAACUUGGUAAUAAUAAUGCCAAGGUCAUGGGUUCAAUUCCCAUACUGGCCA